RNAcentral lists this ribosomal RNA (501 nucleotides) under uncultured bacterium. RNAcentral describes it as "partial 16S ribosomal RNA". It matches the Rfam family "Bacterial small subunit ribosomal RNA", at positions 30 to 523 of the family's 1533-position model. The record is from RNAcentral.
AUUGAACGCUGGCGGCAGGCUUAACACAUGCAAGUCGAGCGGAGAUGAGGUGCUUGCACCUUAUCUUAGCGGCGGACGGGUGAGUAAUGCUUAGGAAUCUGCCUAUUAGUGGGGGACAACAUUCCGAAAGGAAUGCUAAUACCGCAUACGUCCUACGGGAGAAAGCAGGGGAUCUUCGGACCUUGCGCUAAUAGAUGAGCCUAAGUCGGAUUAGCUAGUUGGUGGGGUAAAGGCCUACCAAGGCGACGAUCUGUAGCGGGUCUGAGAGGAUGAUCCGCCACACUGGGACUGAGACACGGCCCAGACUCCUACGGGAGGUAGCAGUGGGGAAUAUUGGACAAUGGGGGGAACCCGGAUCCAGCCAUGCCGCGUGUGUGAAGAAGGCCUUAUGGUUGUAAAGCACUUUAAGCGAGGAGGAGGCUACUGAGACUAAUACUCUUGGAUAGUGGACGUUACUCGCAGAAUAAGCACCGGCUAACUCUGUGCCAGCAGCCGCCGUAA